CGACCGGCGUCGCACCACGCGCCCACUCACCGCUCUCUUUCUGGUUCGAACCCAAGGCGCUUACUUCUCAGACUGCCUUGGAGGAACGAGAAGAUUUGAUGUGCCAGGCCUAAAGAUGCUGGAUGUUAGGCUGCUGAGGUCUUGUGAGAUGUGAUAUGGCCUUGUGUGGCCUUAGGCUGCCUUGGGCAUUUUAGACAUUUGCCUAUUUGAAGUGUUCAGCCAAAAUCCCGUCGGUGAUCAGGCCGAAGCUGGAGCAAGCGCGCCAUGUCGAGGUCAUGUCUGGUGCCAAUACGUAGUCGCAGGAACAUAUUCAAUGUACUGGUAACAUAAUCAAAAGCGUCACAGUGCAAUUUCUUUGCAGGACAAGGGAAAAAAAGAAUAGCAGGACUGAACAUUCGCUUACGUGUCCUCCUCCUGGCAUGUUGUUGCGUUGGGUCGCCUGUAGGUGACAUUGUGCCCGGGGACAUUGAGAUAACUUCAAUGCUGUAUUGUCUGUCUUCCAACCAGUAAGAUAUAAUACAUGGAUCUUUUAAC
Molecule: long non-coding RNA, 534 nt
Filed under: Populus euphratica (Euphrates poplar)
Lineage: Eukaryota; Viridiplantae; Streptophyta; Magnoliopsida; Malpighiales; Salicaceae
Source: RNAcentral